AACGAACGCUGGCGGCAGGCUUAACACAUGCAAGUCGAACGGAUCCUUCGGGAUUAGUGGCAGACGGGUGAGUAACGCGUGGGAACGUACCCUUUGCUACGGAAUAACUCAGGGAAACUUGAGCUAAUACCGUAUGUGCCCUACGGGGGAAAGAUUUAUCGGCAAAGGAUCGGCCCGCGUUGGAUUAGCUAGUUGGUGGGGUAAUGGCCUACCAAGGCGACGAUCCAUAGCUGGUCUGAGAGGAUAAUCAGCCACACUGGGACUGAGACACGGCCCAGACUCCUACGGGAGGCAGCAGUGGGGAAUAUUGGACAAUGGGCGCAAGCCUGAUCCAGCCAUGCCGCGUGAGUGAUGAAGGUCUUAGGACUGUAAAGCUCUUUCACCGGUGAAGAUAAUGACGGUAGCCGGAGAAGAAGCCCCGGCUAACUUCGUG
This 433-nucleotide ribosomal RNA is filed under the name uncultured bacterium. RNAcentral describes it as "partial 16S ribosomal RNA". It matches the Rfam family "Bacterial small subunit ribosomal RNA", at positions 29 to 507 of the family's 1533-position model. The record is from RNAcentral.